AAUAUUGGACAAUGGGCGAAAGCCUGAUCCAGCCAUGCCGCGUGAGCGAUGAAGGCCUUCGGGUCGUAAAGCUCUGUCCUUGGGGAAGAAGGUCUUCGGACUUGACGGUACCCAAGAAGAAAGCCCCGGCUAACUACGUGCCAGCAGCCGCGGUAAUACGUAGGGGGCGAGCGUUGUCCGGAAUUACUGGGCGUAAAGGGUGCGUAGGCGGCCCUUUAAGUCAGAUGUGAAAGGCCACGGCUUAACCGUGGGAUUGCAUUUGAAACUGGAGGGCUUGAGUAUCGGAGAGGGUAGUGGAAUUCCCAGUGUAGCGGUGGAAUGCGUAGAUAUUGGGAGGAACACCAGUGGCGAAGGCGACUACCUGGACGAAAACUGACGCUGAGGCACGAAAGCUAGGGGAGCAAAC
RNAcentral lists this ribosomal RNA (406 nucleotides) under uncultured bacterium. RNAcentral's name for it is "partial 16S ribosomal RNA". It matches the Rfam family "Bacterial small subunit ribosomal RNA", at positions 360 to 773 of the family's 1533-position model. The record is from RNAcentral.